This 371-nucleotide ribosomal RNA is filed under the name uncultured bacterium. RNAcentral describes it as "bacterial SSU rRNA". It matches the Rfam family "Bacterial small subunit ribosomal RNA", at positions 527 to 896 of the family's 1533-position model. The record is from RNAcentral.
AGAGGUGGCAAGCGUUGCUCGGAAUCACUGGGCUUAAAGGGCAUGUAGGCGGGCGAGUAAGCGCCUUGUGAAAUCCCCCGGCUCAACCGGGGAACCGCUCGGCGAACUGCUCGUCUCGAGGGAGACAGGGGCGACCGGAACUCUGGGUGGAGCGGUGAAAUGCGUAGAUAUCCAGGGGAACGCCGGUGGAGAAAUCGGGUCGCUGGGUCUUUCCUGACGCUGAGGUGCGAAAGCCAGGGGAGCGAACGGGAUUAGAUACCCCGGUAGUCCUGGCCGUAAACGAUGCCGACUGGGUUGGGGCGGGUUUACCCCCGUCCCAGCCGGAGCAAAAGCGUUAAGUCGGCCGCCUGGGAAAUACGGCCGCAAGGUUA